UACGGGGGGGGCAAGCGUUGUUCGGAAUUACUGGGCGUAAAGGGCUCGUAGGCGGCCAACUAAGUCAGACGUGAAAUCCCUCGGCUUAACCGGGGAACUGCGUCUGAUACUGGAUGGCUAGAGGUUGGGAGAGGGAUGCAGAAUUCCAGGUGUAGCGGUGAAAUGCGUAGAUAUCUGGAGGAACACCGGUGGCGAAGGCGGCAUCCUGGACCAAUUCUGACGCUGAGGAGCGAAAGCCAGGGGAGCAAACGGG
RNAcentral lists this ribosomal RNA (253 nucleotides) under uncultured bacterium. RNAcentral describes it as "partial 16S ribosomal RNA". It matches the Rfam family "Bacterial small subunit ribosomal RNA", at positions 524 to 776 of the family's 1533-position model. The record is from RNAcentral.